This 2411-nucleotide long non-coding RNA is filed under the name Triticum aestivum (bread wheat). RNAcentral describes it as "long non-coding RNA (TAES_LNC014637)". Lineage: Eukaryota; Viridiplantae; Streptophyta; Magnoliopsida; Poales; Poaceae. The record is from RNAcentral.
UGGGUUUGGACCGACGGUGCGCGGGGCCGGGCGGGCCGCUGGAGGUGCCAGCCGCGCGCAUAACGGGGAAAGGUUCGGAUCUAUGGUUCGUGCUCGGGCGGGCUAGGUCAGGGCCCGGGGCGGAUCAGAGCAAGUGCUUCAGGUAGGAGAGGUUUGGCUUGGCCCGGGAUGUGCUUGCAGGUAUGGUGCUCGAUGGUGGUGGUCGUGUUAGCGUUGCGUCGGUGCGGGGAUCGGCGCCGGUGACCACGGACACGACGUCGAGUGAGCUCGCCUGGCCAAGGGUUGGGGCUGGCUCGCCAGCGGCCGUCGGCAGUCUCGUGAGUCGUGUCCCUCCCAGUUCACCGGGAUUGGCUAGUGACACAGGUGUUAGUGCCUCCUACGAUGGAGGCGCCGACCCAGACUCGGGGACUGAUGUCGGGCUAGGAGUAGAUGGUGUGUCGUCACUCUUCCUAUCGUGGUUGAGUGCGUUGUGAUGUGAGCGGCGCACGCUGUCUUGCGAAAGGGAUGCCGAGGCGGUUCACAUGGUUGCUCUUCGGCGGGCAAUUGCGGUGGUGGUGGCUCUCCUCCCGGGUUGUGUGGGCAACGGGAGGUGUUGCGACUGGUAGCUCGGACGUGCCCUCUCUCUCGGAGGGGCGGCGUCCUGAUCCGGAUUUGGGGACCUGACAUCGUCGCGUUCCUCAUGGCGGCCUCGUGGUGGCACGGGUGAGUUGCCGAGCGAAAGCUUCAUGCCUUGGCGCCGACGAUGGCGUCACCCGUGGGUACCGCGCUCUUCUUGAAGACGUCGUUGUGGUUCUCUUUGUGUCAUGGCUCCAGGUGAAGAUCUUUGUCCGUGUGGACUCGGCAGCGGCGACGCUCUGUGCCGUUCUCCCUAUUGGGGGCGUUGUCGUGGAGCUUAGGUGUGCUAGGUCGUAGCGUGGGGUGUGUUUAGUUCUCUCAGUGCUCUUUGUUGGUAGCAUAGUCACGUGCGUUCUGUGUCUACCAGUUAUCUCAGGAUUGGCUUUGUAAGACGGCUACCUCACCAUCUUGUAUCGUUCAGUCGUUUACUUCUUCGGGUGUUGCUUUAUAUAUAAAGCGGGGCGAAAGCCUGUUUCGAGAGGGGGCUCCACCACCUGAAUAUAUUACUCAAAGUUGCCAGGACAGAGUUUGGCACAAGCAGGUCUAAAUGUGAAGAAAGGCAUAGGCGCCAAGCAUUAGUGUCAUCCUUAUGACCGGCCUUGGUGAACCGAUGAGACCAGUUGGUGAAGUUGUCGAGGAUGUUCCUGACCGUGGUUUACAUGAUGGAAAACCAUGGCAUUACGGGCGUCCCAGGUCUUACAUAGGAUAGCAAGAACCGAUGACCUCUGAAGUUAUGUUUAAACCAUUCGAAGCAAUGUGUUAUUGGUGUGCCUUAUUGUUCUUAAGCCCUAUUAGGAGGGAAUGCAUUGUGUUAUCAGGUCCAGGCUUCAGUAUUUGCAAUCAUAUUUUUAUGGAUGAGGUGAGGACAUUUAUCAGGGCUUCUGAAUCAAUUGUAUAGCUAGUAGGUGAACAAAUGGUCCAUGACUCCCGUGUGUCAUCAAUGACACUAGUUGGCAACUGGCAGGUAAGAAGACCAUGAGUCUGCUCAUGCAGUGUUCGCUAUAAUGGAGGCAAUGUGAUUUGAACUGGAUUAAUGCGGUUGCUACAUACAUUUGUGGUCCUGGCAGAGGCCAUAGCUGUGAAUAAGUGGUUAGAUGAUUGGAUACGCACUGCACAAGUGGGUAACUUAGGAUGUUUGAUGAGGCCUUCCUUAGCUGAUAGGCCUCACUUCUCUUUUGAAGAGUAUGAAGCUCACUUCAUGGGCUUCGCAGUAGUACUAGCAAAUAGAAAUACCGAGUAUUGAGUUGUGUAGUGGCUAAGAGAUAUUACUACAACAUGUAGGCUCCAGAGUCAUAUGAGGCCUACCGAAGCACAUCAUUUGUUAAUGGUGUAUAGAGGAUUGGGUCUGCUAGUUGGGUAUAUUACUUAAAAAAAAAGACAUUAAUCCGGUUAGGAAGGUUGUUGGUUGUUCAGGCAACUUGCUCAACAAUUUCAUAUGGCCAUUGCACCUUGUGGUCUGAUUAUUUUGAUAUUUUCCAGCAUCUCACAUGCAAUCCAUUUCUUAGUUUUGUUCAUGUGAUUCCUACUUGGCUUCAUUCCUAGUUGGCUUCUGUGGUGACCUCUCUAAUACAGUGCAGAAACUGAACUAGCAGUAGUAGCACUAGAUAUUGUUUCAAUUGGCUAAACUUGAUUCUUUCUUCUUCUAAACACAAUGUGAUUAUUUUUACAUGCAUCCAUCUGUACAUCCACAGUACGGCACCCUUGGAAAAACGUUGCACAAAAGGUGUGCUCCAAAAGUACAACCGGGGAAAAAGAUGGAACAUGAAAACAGAAAGAAGAAUCUGGAGAUGUUCACU